GUUUGUGUGCCAAUGUUCCCAAGGUUUGGUGUCUCUUUCUUUCUAGCAGAUAAUUCUCGUGUAGACAUCAAGAAGCUAAUGAUAGUUUGACUUAUGCUCCUCAUCAAUUGUAGCAAAGGAUUGUCCAUGGUCUAUCAUUUAACCUGUUGUGCAUUGUUAAUGCACAUUUGAUACUAUUCAGUUCCAUGUUAUGAUUUUGUUUCUUAUAUGAUUCUCUUAAAUUAGUGUUGAUUGGUGUGUGAACCAUUUUAAUCUUUCAGAUCUGUUCCAAGUGUUUUCUGAGUUGCCAAGAAGGGAUAUCAAUUUCAUAUAGCAUAGCAGUCAACUAGGUUGGAAAUUGAAUAAGAGAAGGAAGACAAUAAUAAUAGAUUCAGGGCUUUAUAGCCUGAAUAAAUCAGAAAUUUGGUGGGUUAUUAAGUAGAGGAGUCCACCAACAUCUUUUAAGCUCUACAUAGUGGAAAGUCAAAUCAACUAAAUUUCUUAUCCUUGCGAACAUGGCUCGAGAGGUAUUAGUCAUUCUUAUCUCUACCAUAGCAUCAGAGUGUGCAUUCAGUACAGGAGAAAGAGUGGUUAGCCCUUAUCGUAGUUGCCUAACGACUAAAAUAGUGGAAGUGCUUGUUUGCACACAAGAUUGGUUAAAAGGAACACCUUUCUCU
RNAcentral lists this small RNA (656 nucleotides) under Vigna angularis var. angularis. RNAcentral describes it as "Non-protein coding transcript". Lineage: Eukaryota; Viridiplantae; Streptophyta; Magnoliopsida; Fabales; Fabaceae. The record is from RNAcentral.